This 275-nucleotide ribosomal RNA is filed under the name uncultured bacterium. RNAcentral describes it as "partial 16S ribosomal RNA". It matches the Rfam family "Bacterial small subunit ribosomal RNA", at positions 523 to 796 of the family's 1533-position model. The record is from RNAcentral.
AUACGGAGGGGGCUAGCGUUGUUCGGAAUCACUGGGCGUAAAGCGCACGUAGGCGGGCUGGUCAGUUGGGGGUGAAAUCCCAGGGCUCAACCUUGGAACUGCCUUCAAUACUGCCAGUCUACGAGUCCGGGAGAGGUGAGUGGAAUUCCUAGUGUAGAGGUGAAAUUCGUAGAUAUUAGGAAGAACACCAGUGGCGAAGGCGGCUCACUGGCCCGGUACUGACGCUGAGGUGCGAAAGCGUGGGGAGCAAACAGGAUUAGAAACCCCAGUAGUCC